Long non-coding RNA from Esox lucius (northern pike), 835 nucleotides. RefSeq lists it as uncharacterized. The transcript has 3 exons. Lineage: Eukaryota; Metazoa; Chordata; Actinopteri; Esociformes; Esocidae. The record is from RefSeq and is a predicted model, not a curated record.
AGGUCAACAUCUAACUGAUUAUUGCUAAACAUUCUGUAAGCAUAAACAUUCAAGAGUGAUACCUCCCUCUGUUGUCUAUUUUUGGGUUGAAAGUCUCAAUCACUUGGUCAGGUGUCACCCAAGCCUUAUCUUCCAUCACAGAUUUGUUUGCCCUGAAUUGGACCAAGACACAGUCUCCAGUUUUGAUGUUCCUUGCAGCUGCUGGGUGGAGCUCAGAGGACUGCUGUGCGGGACUUCCAGCAGAUGUGAUUUCUGAGGGCAGAAAUCUAUGGACACUUGACUGUUCUGCCUCUGAGUAGAUUUUGUGAAACACUGGUUUCCAGCAGCUUUCCACUCCACUCCUGCAUUCAGCCUAACAUGCAGUGAGGACUAUCUGGAUUGCAGGCCACAGCUUUUAUAAAAUCCUGUGUGCUCUGGAAUGCUUGCCUUGGGAUGACACGUUGCACACAGUCCAGGGCUAAUUUAAGAUUCUCAUGGUAACGGCACAGGCAAACAUUUCUCUGAGUAUCUGAACACCGGAGUAUUUGAGAUGGUCGAAGCUCAGCAAAUUUAGAUUUCCCAAUUAUAAACUCCGGAUGUUCACUCUUGAAGCCGCGGUAGGCCUCUAGAAUAGACAUUGUUAAAUGUCGUUUCUGGAUUUUCGUUUUUACUAAUCCCUCUCUGACUGUGAGCACAUCCCUCAUCCCUGGUGCUUGCCUUGAGAUGUCAUCUCUCUCAUAGAACUACUUGACUUGACCAUAUGUAGUAGUUGUGGUAUUAUUCUUUUCCUUUUUCUCCUGAAGAAGGCACAGUGAUGUUGCAAUUUUUUUAUAACUAAACGUCGCCCGGUAUGGCG